This 433-nucleotide ribosomal RNA is filed under the name uncultured bacterium. RNAcentral describes it as "partial 16S ribosomal RNA". It matches the Rfam family "Bacterial small subunit ribosomal RNA", at positions 29 to 507 of the family's 1533-position model. The record is from RNAcentral.
AGCGAACGCUGGCGGCAGGCCUAACACAUGCAAGUCGAACGAACUCUUCGGAGUUAGUGGCGGACGGGUGAGUAACACGUGGGAACGUGCAUUUUGGUUCGGAAUAACUCAGGGAAACUUGUGCUAAUACCGAAUGUGCUCUUCGGGGGAAAGAUUUAUCGCCAUUAGAGCGGCCCGCGUCUGAUUAGCUAGUUGGUGAGGUAACGGCUCACCAAGGCGACGAUCAGUAGCUGGUCUGAGAGGAUGACCAGCCACACUGGGACUGAGACACGGCCCAGACUCCUACGGGAGGCAGCAGUGGGGAAUCUUGCGCAAUGGGCGAAAGCCUGACGCAGCCAUGCCGCGUGAAUGAUGAAGGUCUUAGGAUUGUAAAAUUCUUUCACCGGGGACGAUAAUGACGGUACCCGGAGAAGAAGCCCCGGCUAACUUCGUG